GCGUGAGUGAUGAAGGCCUUAGGGUUGUAAAGCUCUUUCGUCAGGGAAGAUAAUGACGGUACCUGAAGAAGAAGCCCCGGCUAACUUCGUGCCAGCAGCCGCGGUAAUACGAAGGGGGCUAGCGUUGUUCGGAAUUACUGGGCGUAAAGCGCACGUAGGCGGACAUUUAAGUCAGGGGUGAAAUCCCAGGGCUCAACCCUGGAACUGCCUUUGAUACUGGGUGUCUUGAGUACGAGAGAGGUGAGUGGAAUUCCGAGUGUAGAGGUGAAAUUCGU
RNAcentral lists this ribosomal RNA (275 nucleotides) under uncultured bacterium. Its description in RNAcentral is "partial 16S ribosomal RNA". It matches the Rfam family "Bacterial small subunit ribosomal RNA", at positions 399 to 691 of the family's 1533-position model. The record is from RNAcentral.